AACCGGCCCCCACUUCAUCACUCUUUCUUUUUCUCUUUCUUUCUUUUUAUCUUUUGAGUUCUUUUCCUUUUUCACUCACCUUUCACAAAAAAAUAGGUGAAAUUAAUCUCUGUCGCUCACAAUUCGCAAAAAAAAUUGUAAACCUCAAACAAAGAAAUCGCAUAAAACCUCAAACCCUCUUAUCAACGAAGAGAAUUCCCACACAAUCGAAGUUUGAAACCAACAAAUCAAUUUCAAGUGUUAAGCUGCUAGGGUCUGGGUCUUCAAAUUCCGACGAGCUGUUUCCAUACGAACCGCGGCGCACCGUACCGUGCCAUGCCGUCGAACACAAUCCUCUCUGCUCUAUCUCCGGCGUUCAAGCCAUUAAGUGAUCCGUGGAUUCUUGUGACAUCUGAAAUUGAUUAGAUCAGCCAUUUGCAGUUCUGUCGGUUUGUUUUCGGUUUUCAAAACUUCUUUGUAUGUAUUAUGAACAAAAUUCUUGAGCGGAACCAUAAAAGUUGCUAUUCCUCACAAGACAAUGUUGCUGAGAACGAAACACAGCAUGCAUGUUGGUUGGAGUCAAAUGCAAAUUCAUAGAAUCUGAAUUUAAGAUUACCAUAUGUAUUUGAGAGCACAGCUGAUGAAAAUUUUACCGAUUGCAAAUGAUAAAUGUUACGAGCAUGGGAAAAGCAUAACCAAUUUUAAAUCAGCUUUUCAGGUAUGCAUUGAUUCCAGAUUCAAACCGUCACUUCCGUUUAGUAUGUUGUUUAUCAUUUUGUGAUCAUAACACUGUCAAGCGGUGUUACUAUUGUGAAUGUUAUGCGAGAAAGCAAAGAAAAUUCUAAUGGGAGAAAGCAAAGUUAAGGUGAAGAUUUUGGUUUGUCCUUUAGCUUUCAAUAAUUUCACUGCUAAUUAGGGUUUUUCUUCAUACGUUUUCCUUCAUGUUCAA
Pyrus x bretschneideri (Chinese white pear) is the source of this 928-nucleotide long non-coding RNA. RefSeq lists it as uncharacterized. The record is from RefSeq and is a predicted model, not a curated record. NCBI's taxonomy places the organism in Eukaryota, Viridiplantae, Streptophyta, Magnoliopsida, Rosales, Rosaceae. The transcript has 6 exons.